This 437-nucleotide ribosomal RNA is filed under the name uncultured bacterium. Its description in RNAcentral is "bacterial SSU rRNA". It matches the Rfam family "Bacterial small subunit ribosomal RNA", at positions 8 to 446 of the family's 1533-position model. The record is from RNAcentral.
AGAGUUUGAUCCUGGCUCAGAACGAACGUUGGCGGCGUGGAUUAGGCAUGCAAGUCGAACGAGAACCGUUGGGCAACUGACGGGGAAAGUGGCGAAAGGGGCAGUAAUGCAUGGGUAACCUACCCUGGGGACCGGGACAUACACGUAAUAGUGGUAAAUACCGGGCGAUCUGGCGAAACCGCAUGGCUUUGCCAGGAAAUGUUUUUCGCCUCGGGAGGGGCUCAUGUGAUAUUAGCUAGUUGGUGAGGUAAUGGCUCACCAAGGCUCCGAUCCUUAGCUGUUCUGAGAGGAAGAUCAGCCACACUGGGACUGAGACACGGCCCAGACUCCUACGGGAGGCAGCAGUUGGGAAUCUUGGACAAUGGGGGAAACCCUGAUCCAGCCAUGCCGCGUGAGUGAUGAAGGCCUUCGGGUUGUAAAACUCUUUCGACGGGGAC